This 820-nucleotide long non-coding RNA is filed under the name Zonotrichia albicollis (white-throated sparrow). RNAcentral's name for it is "lncRNA (ENSZALG00000004269.1)". The record is from RNAcentral. Lineage: Eukaryota; Metazoa; Chordata; Aves; Passeriformes; Passerellidae.
ACUGGAAUUGUGAUUUUGGGGUGUUUUUUGCAGGCGGGUGCUGGGGCGGCUGCUGUCGCUGCUGCGCUGCCCGGACACGGAGCUGAGGAGGGGAAUUGUGGGGGCGCUCAGGAACUGCUGCUUCCAGCACGAGAACCACGAGAGGCUGCUGAGCCCUGAGGUGGAGGCGCUGCCGCUGCUGCUGCUGCCCCUGGCCGGCCCCGAGGAGCUGCCCGAGCAUGAGAUGGAGCAGCUGCCCCUGGAUCUGCAGUUUGGGGAUUGUGUUGGGAAUUUUUUGGGGAUUUUUUGGUGAUUUUUUAGGGGAUUUUUGGGAAAUUCUUGGGAAUAUUUUUGAGAAUAUUUUGGGGAAUUUCUGGGAAUAUUUUGUGGAAUAUUUUGGGAUUUUUGGGACCAUCCCCAAUCUAUUUGUUCCCGUUUCAGAGCUGCCCGUGGAUCUGCAGUUUGGGGAUUUUGUUGGGAAUUUUUUUGGGACUUUAUUGGGAAUUUUUUGGGGGAUUUUGUUGGGAAUUUUUUUGGGCAUUUUUGUGGGGAUUUUUUAGGAAUUUUUUGGGAAUAUUUUGUGGGAUUUUUGGGACCAUCCCAAAUUUAUUUUUCCCUUUCCCAUUUCAGAGCUGCCCCUGGAUCUGCAGUUUGGGGAUUGUGUUGGGAAUUUUUUGGGAUUUUGUUGGGAAUUUUUUUGGGAUUUUGGGAGAUUUUUUUGGGGGGGAAAGUUUUUGGGGAAUUUGUGGGGAAUUUUUUUGGGAAUUUUUGGUAAUUUUUUCGGGAUUUUUUUGGCGAGUUUUUUGGGAAUUUCUGAUGAUUUUUUAGAUGUUUUGGGAAA